RNAcentral lists this ribosomal RNA (523 nucleotides) under uncultured bacterium. RNAcentral's name for it is "partial 16S ribosomal RNA". It matches the Rfam family "Bacterial small subunit ribosomal RNA", at positions 28 to 523 of the family's 1533-position model. The record is from RNAcentral.
GACGAACGCUGGCGGCGUGCCUAAUACAUGCAAGUCGAACGCUUUUUCUUUCACCGGAGCUUGCUCCACCGAAAGAAAAAGAGUGGCGAACGGGUGAGUAACACGUGGGUAACCUGCCCAUCAGAAGGGGAUAACACUUGGAAACAGGUGCUAAUACCGUAUAACACUAUUUUCCGCAUGGGAGAAAGUUGAAAGGCGCUUUUGCGUCACUGAUGGAUGGACCCGCGGUGCAUUAGCUAGUUGGUGAGGUAACGGCUCACCAAGGCAACGAUGCAUAGCCGACCUGGGAGGGGGAUCGGCCACACUGGGACUGGGACACAGCCCAGACUCCUACGGGAGGCAGCAGUAGGGAAUCAUCGGCAAUGGACGAAAGUCUGACCGAGCAACGCCGCGUGAGUGAAGAAGGUUUUCGGAUCGUAAAACUCUGUUGUUAGAGAAGAACAAGGAUGAGAGUAAAAUGUUCAUCCCUUGACGGUAUCUAACCAGAAAGCCACGGCUAACUACGUACCAGCCGCCGCGGUAA